AAAUAUCCUGAGGCCCUUGGUUCCUCUUUCCUUCUCCCAAUUGUUUGCAUUUAGACAUGUUUCCUUAGGUGCCAGAGGAAACACACUGCUCUGCUGAAAUGCAUGUAGAUUGCAUGUUUAAUCUCUGAUUGGACUGAAGAGGCUAACCAUCAGCAGGUGAAGAGAUGCAUCCUAUCUCUAGCUUCCUGAGAAGAGCUAAGUAGAAAAGGUCUGUACAGGCAGGGCCUGCAGUGUGCACCAGCCGUGACUUGGACACUUUUCCACAGCAGACUCUACACUCUUGGAAAGCCUGGUUGAAAGGAGGUAGCUGCAGAUUGGGGAAAACCUUCAUCAUAGUGUGUGAUUUUAAAAUGCUUUAUUAUUUCAUGAUUUGUAGGAUUUUUUUCUAGAAAUUAUCUUAAUGAUGCCAUGGACUAAUGAUGCAAAAUUUCUAAUAAGUGGUAUUUUGUUAAUAUGCAUAUUAUUUGAUUCUGGAAUUCCUGGGGAACAAAAUAUUAUAUUUCAUUGGACUCUACUAUACAAAUGAACAUUUGAUUUAUAUAACUUACAUGAUAGGUGUUAUUUUACAAUGUAUGCUAGGGUUAAUUACCAUCUUCAUUGGGUGUUUUUACUAAUUUUCAGAUUUAACCCCGUAUCCCUCCAAAAAUAUUUAUUCUCAGCCAAAUGCCAGCUGCAAGACCCAGGCUCAGAGUAUUUAAGCACAUGAGUCCAACUUUAAAUCAGAUGUGUACAACUUGGGCUUACGGAAAGGUUGCAGGUCCAUUUGCUCCACUUGCCUUUCCAGAAUUAAAGAGAAAGAAACAUCGGUGAAGGGAUAGAUUAUCAGCUUUGAGUGAAAUUGUCUUGACCUGAUCUGACAUCCGCAGACCUUUGGUUUCUUCCUGUCUUUAGCACCUCCAAAGAAAGGCUAAGAUGAAACAGGCCACACAUAGACUUGCUCCUUUGCUUCCUCAGCAUAGUUGUCAACGUUGUUUAAACAGCCUUGAAAUCACAGGGUGAGCUGUUUCUUUUGUACUUCACAAACCUCUAACAGAGUUGUCCCACUUUAAGGUCACAUACUGUUUACUAUUCUAGAGCUUAGCCAUGAACAAAGGAUUACUUUUGAAUUACAAAACAAGAGGCCUGAAAAAUUCUUAGUUCUGUUCUGGCUCUGAAACAAAGACUAAACUUUCAAUGUUUAGCCAUGGGUCAUAGCGCUUCAAUAUAACUAACUACACAACAUUUUUUCUAACUAAUGUAACUAACUACACUAUAUAGGGCUAUACAUAGGGCUUCAAUACAACUAACUACACUACAGUUUUUCAAGGGCAAACUUCUGCUUGUUGUAUACUGAACUCUGAAGUAACAGUCACAACAGCAUUUUACAGACACCUGAAUUUCUGCACAAGUCAUUAUAGAUCUUGAUUUUUAAAUUUUGUUGGAGAGGAAGUUAGAAUCU
This 1438-nucleotide long non-coding RNA is filed under the name Homo sapiens (human). RNAcentral describes it as "HSALNT0237354". The record is from RNAcentral. Lineage: Eukaryota; Metazoa; Chordata; Mammalia; Primates; Hominidae.